RNAcentral lists this ribosomal RNA (514 nucleotides) under uncultured bacterium. RNAcentral describes it as "partial 16S ribosomal RNA". It matches the Rfam family "Bacterial small subunit ribosomal RNA", at positions 28 to 523 of the family's 1533-position model. The record is from RNAcentral.
GAUGAACGCUGGCGGCGUGCCUAAUACAUGCAAGUCGAGCGAACAGAUGAGAAGCUUGCUUCUCUGAUGUUAGCGGCGGACGGGUGAGUAACACGUGGGUAACCUACCUAUAAGACUGGGAUAACUCCGGGAAACCGGGGCUAAUACCGGAUAAUAUUUUGAACCGCAUGGUUCAAUAGUGAAAGACGGUUUCGGCUGGCACUAAUAGAUGGACCCGCGCCGUAUUAGCUAGUUGGUAAGGUAACGGCUUACCAAGGCGACGAUACGUAGCCGACCUGAGAGGGUGAUCGGCCACACUGGAACUGAGACACGGUCCAGACUCCUACGGGAGGCAGCAGUAGGGAAUCUUCCGCAAUGGGCGAAAGCCUGACGGAGCAACGCCGCGUGAGUGAUGAAGGUCUUCGGAUCGUAAAACUCUGUUGUUAGGGAAGAACAAAUUUGUUAGUAACUGAACAAGUCUUGACGGUACCUAACCAGAAAGCCACGGCUAACUACGUGCCAGCAGCCGCCGUAA